Molecule: ribosomal RNA, 465 nt
Filed under: uncultured bacterium
Lineage: Bacteria
Description: partial 16S ribosomal RNA
Rfam family: Bacterial small subunit ribosomal RNA
Source: RNAcentral
CUACGGGAGGCUCCAGUGAGGAAUUUUGCGCAAUGGGGGCAACCCUGACGCAGCAACGCCGCGUGAGUGAAGAAGGCCUUUGGGUCGUAAAGCUCUGUCGACAGGGAAGAAGUUAUUGUUGUUUAACAGAUGACAGUAUUGACGGUACCUGUAGAGGAAGCACCGGCUAACUCCGUGCCAGCAGCCGCGGUAAUACGGGGGGUGCAAGCGUUAUUCGGAAUUAUUGGGCGUAAAGGGCGCGUAGGCGGUCUUGUCGGUCAGACGUGAAAGCCCAGGGCUCAACUCUGGACGUGCAUUUGAAACAGCAAGACUUGAGUACGGGAGAGGAAAGCGGAAUUCCUGGUGUAGAGGUGAAAUUCGUAGAUAUCAGGAGGAACACCGAUGGCGAAGGCAGCUUUCUGGACCGAUACUGACGCUGAGGCGCGAAGGUGUGGGUAGCGAACGGGAUUAGAUACCCCGGUAGUC